This 45-nucleotide non-coding RNA is filed under the name Schistosoma curassoni. Lineage: Eukaryota; Metazoa; Platyhelminthes; Trematoda; Strigeidida; Schistosomatidae. The record is from RNAcentral.
AUCCAGUUGACGAAUCCUAAAUAGGACGAAACCCGAGUCCUGGAU